CCUACGGGAGGCAGCAGUGGGGAAUUUUGGACAAUGGACGCAAGUCUGAUCCAGCCAUUCCGCGUGCAGGACGAAGGCCUUCGGGUUGUAAACUGCUUUUGUACGGAACGAAAAAGCUCUUAUUAAUACUAGGAGUCCAUGACGGUACCGUAAGAAUAAGCACCGGCUAACUACGUGCCAGCAGCCGCGGUAAUACGUAGGGUGCAAGCGUUAAUCGGAAUUACUGGGCGUAAAGCGUGCGCAGGCGGUUACAUAAGACAGAUGUGAAAUCCCCGAGCUUAACUUGGGAACUGCAUUUGUGACUGUAUAGCUAGAGUACGGCAGAGGGGGAUGGAAUUCCGCGUGUAGCAGUGAAAUGCGUAGAUAUGCGGAGGAACACCGAUGGCGAAGGCAAUCCCCUGGGCCUGUACUGACGCUCAUGCACGAAAGCGUGGGGAGCAAACAGGAUUAGAUACCCUGGUAGUCCACGCCCUAAACGAUGUCAACUGGUUGUUGGGUCUUCACUGACUCAGUAACGAAGCUAACGCGUGAAGUUGACCGCCUGGGGAGUACGGCCGCAAGGUUGAAACUUAAAGGAAUUGACGG
This 585-nucleotide ribosomal RNA is filed under the name uncultured bacterium. RNAcentral's name for it is "bacterial SSU rRNA". It matches the Rfam family "Bacterial small subunit ribosomal RNA", at positions 338 to 916 of the family's 1533-position model. The record is from RNAcentral.